RNAcentral lists this ribosomal RNA (301 nucleotides) under uncultured bacterium. Its description in RNAcentral is "partial 16S ribosomal RNA". It matches the Rfam family "Bacterial small subunit ribosomal RNA", at positions 509 to 807 of the family's 1533-position model. The record is from RNAcentral.
CAGUCGCCGCGGGAAAACGAAGGGUGCAAGCGUUACUCGGAAUUACUGGGCGUAAAGCGUGCGUAGGUGGUGGUUUAAGUCCGUUGUGAAAGCCCUGGGCUCAACCUGGGAAUUGCAGUGGAUACUGGGUCACUAGAGUGUGGUAGAGGAUAGUGGAAUUUCCGGUGUAGCAGUGAAAUGCGUAGAGAUCGGAAGGAACAUCUGUGGCGAAGGCGACUAUCUGGGCCAACACUGACACUGAGGCACGAAAGCGUGGGGAGCAAACAGGAUUAGAUACCCGAGUAGUCCCUGUCUCUUAUAC